GAUGAACGCUAGCUACAGGCCUAACACAUGCAAGUCGAGGGGCAUCGGGAGGGAAGCUUGCUUCCCUUGCCGGCGACCGGCGCACGGGGUGAGUAACGCGUAUCGAACCUGCCCCCAUACCCGGGGAUAGCCCUUGCGAAAGUAAGAUUAAUACCCGAUGGUUUCCUUUAUCUCCUGAUAGAGGGAAUAAAGAAUUUCGGUAUGGGAUGGCGAUGCGUCCGAUUAGCUAAUUGGCGGGGUAACGGCCCACCAAGGCGACGAUCGGUAGGGGUUCUGAGAGGAAGGUCCCCCACAUUGGAACUGAGACACGGUCCAAACUCCUACGGGAGGCAGCAGUGAGGAAUAUUGGUCAAUGGGCGAAAGCCUGAACCAGCCAAGUAGCGUGCAGGAUGACGGCCCUAUGGGGUUNUAAACUGCUUUUAGGCGGGGGGUAAAUGCCGGA
Molecule: ribosomal RNA, 442 nt
Filed under: uncultured bacterium
Lineage: Bacteria
Description: bacterial SSU rRNA
Rfam family: Bacterial small subunit ribosomal RNA
Source: RNAcentral